GUGAUAUCCUCGAGGACUGUCAAAAUAAUGUGGGAUUUUUGUAUGUCCCCGGGCGAUACUUUAAUGGUUUACACUUGAGCAUAUGAUCAAGGCCUUUUGUGCUUGCGUAGGGCAAGGCUUUUUUAAUGUGCUUGCUUGGGGCAAGGCUUAUAUUUGGCUUGUCAAAGACAAGGCUUGAAGGGGCUUGCUCGGGGGCAAGGCUUAAAUUGGUUUGUCAAGGACAAGGCUUGAAGGGGCUUGCUCGGGGGCAAGGCUUAAAUUGGCUUACUCGGGGGCAAGGCUUAAAUUGGCUUGUCAAGGACAAGGCUUAAAGGGGCUUGCUCGGGGGCAAGGCUUAAAUUGGCUUGCUCGGGGGCAAGGCUUAAAUUGGCUUGUCAAGGACAAGGCUUGAAGGGGCUGUUAUACCCGAUGUUUGGAUUUAUUAAUUGUUUGGACUGGACUUGGAUUUAUAUUGCAUCCAAGCUGCCUACGUACCCAAACGGGAUCAAGUCGAACGUAGUUCAUUACAAAGGAGAACGGAAAAUAUGCAUGGGCACGCAGGCCCGCUAAACUAGAAAUAAAAUGCAGGAAAAGAAAAUCUCCUAAAAGGCGUCGGGAAUUUUACUUGUAAUAUAUUUUCAGAUUGUCGGCAUUCCAGGGCCUCGGAAGGGGUCUACCCGAAGUGUCUCUUAGGCUGUAUGCUCCUUUGCGAACCUGCCGUAUGACCUCAAAGGGCCCUUCCCAGACGGGCCCGAGCUUCCCUGGGGGGUGGCCUGCUGCUUCGGCCCUCCUCAAGACCAAAUCGCCAGCUCUGAACCUCCGAGCCUUGACUUUGCGAUUAAAAUGUUUUGCUGUCUUUGCUUGGUAAGAGGCCACUUUUAUAGCGGCUUGCUCCCGCACUUCUUCCAAGAGAUCAAGAUGUUCAGUUGUAUGUUCCAAGGUUUCUGGCACGAGCCUCCUAUGGCUUGGCAGUCUAAUUUCCACUGGGACCAUUGCUUCAACGCCAUAGGCUAACAUAAAAGGGGUUUCUCCUGUGGUUGUCCUAUGAGUUGUUCUGUACGUCCAAAGUAUAGAAGGCAGCUCGUCGGACCAAGAACCCCUAGCAUCACUUAUUCUUGUUCGGAGGUCUUGCAAUAUGAUUCGAUUUGUUACCUCGGCCAGACCGUUGCUCUGAGGAUGCGAAACUGACGUCAGACGGUGAUCAAUCCCAAGGUUUGAGCAAAAGUUUCUAAACUGUUGGUUGUCAAAUUGCCUGCCAUUGUCGGUGAUGAGGACCUUUGGUAUCCCAAACCUGCAAAUGAUAGACCUCCAAGUGAAGGCUCUUAGCUUGGGCUCCGAUAUUGUGGCGAGAGGUUCGGCCUCUACCCAUUUUGUGAAGUACUCUACUGCUACAGCAACAAACUUUAACUGACCUCUUGCCACAGGGAAGGGGCCGAGGAUGUCAACUCCCCAUUGUUCAAACGGGGCCGAACAGUUAAUGUUGGUGAGGUCCUCGGCUGGUGAGUGGAUAAUAUUGCCAAACCUCUGGCACUUAUCACAAUUUUUAACAUAUUCUGAGGCGUCUUUUUUCAUAGUUGGCCAGUAGUAUCCAUAUCGUACGAGUUUAAAGGCCAAGGCCCUGGCUCCUUGAUGAUUCCCGCACACACCUUCGUGAACUUCAGCAAGGGCCUGGGAUGAUUCUGAUGGCCUGAGACACCUUAGGUACGGAAGAGUAAUACUUCUGCGGAAAAGGACACCGCUGAUCAUGCAGUACCUAGGAGCUCGGGCUCUGAUGCUUCUGGCCAACCUGGCAUCGCUUGGUAGACUUCCGUUUGUGAUGAAUUCUAUAAUCGGGUCCAUCCAGGAUGGUUCGUUGUCAAUGUCCAUGAUGUCGAGGGUUUGACUGAUGCUGGGUUCUGUGAUGAUUUUAAUGUGAACCGUUCUGUCAAGGCCGUCUACCCCCAUGAACAUAAGCCUGGAUAAUGCAUCGGCUUUUCCGUUGUCCUUUCGAGCAAUUUUUGUAAUUUCACAGCUCUUGAAUUUUCGCUGAAGAUCCUGAACCUUCAUACAGUACAAACUCAUUUUCUCCUCCUUCCUUUCAAAUGAUCCUUCAAUCUGUCCGACCACUAGCUGUGAAUCGCUGAAUACCUUUACGAACUCGAGCUCUAGGCAAAGGGCUAGUUCAAGAGCAAUAACGACGGCCUCAUACUCGGCCUCGUUGUUGGUUGCUUCAAACUCGAAUCUGAGAGCGCAUUGGAUCUCUGUUUGUUUGUCAGGGCUGAUGAUGAUGACCCCUGCGCCCGAGCCCGAGGAGUUCGAUGCUCCAUCCACAAAUAUUUGCCAAGUGUCCAAAUUAGUGCUCAUGCUCGAGCUCUCACCUGGCCCCCGAGGCCUAGGGGUUAGUUCUGCAAUGAAGUCGGCCAGAGCUUGGGCUUUGAUAGAUGGGCGUGGUUUGAAUUCUAUGUCAAAUUCCCCAAGCUC
This 2439-nucleotide long non-coding RNA is filed under the name Olea europaea subsp. europaea. Lineage: Eukaryota; Viridiplantae; Streptophyta; Magnoliopsida; Lamiales; Oleaceae. The record is from RNAcentral.